GACGAACGCUGGCGGCGUGCCUAAUACAUGCAAGUUGAGCGAUGAAGAUUGGUGCUUGCCCCAAUUUGAAGAGCAGCGAACGGGUGAGUAACGCGUGGGGAAUCUGCCUUUGAGCGGGGGACAACAUUUGGAAACGAAUGCUAAUACCGCAUAACAACUUUAAACAUAAGUUUUAAGUUUGAAAGAUGCAAUUGCAUCACUCAAAGAUGAUCCCGCGUUGUAUUAGCUAGUUGGUGAGGUAAAGGCUCACCCAGGCGAUGAGACAUAGCCGACCUGAGAGGGUGAUCGGCCACAUUGGGACUGAGACACGGCCCAAACUCCUACGAGAGGCAGCAGUAGGGAAUCUUCGGCAAUGGACGAAAGUCUGACCGAGCAACGCCGCGUGAGUGAAGAAGGUUUUCGGAUCGUAAAACUCUGUUGGUAGAGAAGAACGUUGGUGAGAGUGGAAAGCUCAUCAAGUGACGGUAACUACCCAGAAAGGGACGGCUAACUACGUG
This 497-nucleotide ribosomal RNA is filed under the name uncultured bacterium. Its description in RNAcentral is "partial 16S ribosomal RNA". It matches the Rfam family "Bacterial small subunit ribosomal RNA", at positions 28 to 507 of the family's 1533-position model. The record is from RNAcentral.